ACUGCUACUAUUGCGCCCCCCUCCCUCCGCAUUCUCCUCAUGACGCCGUCAUCGCCCGGUGCUCUUUCCCUCGCCCUCCCCCCAUCUCCGACACCUACGCCGCGAGAUCCGCGGCCGUCCGCCUCCACCACGACGCCGGAGUCCUCGCACAGCUCCGAAGCCCGGUGCCCUCCCCUCGCCCAGCCUCGACACCCGGCGCUCUCUCCCUCCUCUCCGACAACUCCGCCGUAAGAGCCAAGCCUCCGCCCGUCCGCCGCGUCACCGGGGCGCGAGCCGCGCACGCGCUCGGCACCCUCUACUCUGCGGCAAGCCGUGGCCGCCCUCCCCCGAGCGCACCAGGGCGUGCGUUGCCUCCUCGCCCGCACUCCAGCAGACCCCGCUGCCCUGCAUCGGCCGCUGCACAACCACGCCACUGCCGCCACCGAGCCGAGGCGCCGCCUCCUCCGAGUCCUCCCUCUCUCACGCGCUGCAUCUUGCAGGACUCUUGAGGUCCUGUUCAGCCCAGGGUGGUAGACGGUGGAAACGGUGCAAGUGCCGGCGGCGGCAGGGGAGCCGGCCCCUUCAGCGAGCAGAGCAUCUUAGCCGCGAGGACUGCGCCUCCCCAGGAAAAAAUCCAUCUAAGUGAACCUUUGAUCAGAACAGCAACAGGGAAAUGCCAUAAUUACACGAAGUUGUGCCUGAGGUGAGCGGUGUCUUAGCAGAUCCAACAAUCAAAUUCUUGACCCUGUGACUGUGAGUGCGGAUGAAUUUUUUCUUGUUUGCAGCUGUAUUCGAGCUUAAGUAAGCCACCAAAAUAAUUUGUACAAUAUUUUCUCUUCAUUGCCAAAGAAAAACUUGUUUUGAGUGACUCCUAGGAGUGUCUAACCCUUUCUAGACAAAGUUGAGUGGAAGUUUGAAAACAACAAUAGUUCCUUAUUAUUUUCGUUGAGCAAUAACCUAAACUGUGAGAGUAUCUGAAUGCAUUUUUUAUGAAAUUUUUCUGUCUGCCUUAUUAAAGAUGGUGGAGAAUUUUUUUUUAUUUUGCAUUGGAUUCUCUAAGUGCACAAUUUGGACUAAAAGGCAGCUAAUUGCAGCUUCUCUGAACCCCUUGCAGCUUGACUAAAAGCGGAGAAGCUGCAGCUCGCCUUUUGUGGAUUUUAGGAUCCUGUGUGAAAAUCGAGUUUGUUUAACAGUCAAUUCAGAUUGUUUACAUGAAAUCGUGUAUGCAGGCUGAACUACGGUGACUCAAGACCCUGCUAAGUGGGUGUCAUUUAUUGCAUUCUCAUUGCCAUUUUGACGUGUAAGAUACUAUGCAAACCAGGCACUGUAGGCAUGUGAUCAAAUGAUGGUGUCAAGCUAGCUAAAUAUUUAACAGUGCGUACUUUAGUUCUCCAAAUAGUUUACAUGGAUAUUUUUCUAUCCUUUUAUUUCAGGUUUCUAUUCUGUUGUCAAAGAGGUCUCCAUAUUACGCAAUCGAAUAUGCAAAAGUUUACUAGAUGUAUGUUUGGCACCAAGGCAUGAGUGCAAUCGGUCAAAAAUAAACUGCAGAUUAAUCAUUGCGUUUUAGGUUCAGUUUAGAUUAUGAUUGAUUUGUUCCGUGAGAUUUGCAGAUGUGCAGAAGGGUAAGAUAAAUUAGCCAACAGAUCUUUGAACUGCUGGCAAGCUCUAGCAUCAAUCGGAACACUCACUUAAGAAUCUCAUGGUGUAAUUUUGCAGGUUAAUUGAUGAAAUUUUUGCAAGAAGCUGUUGCAGAGGUGUCUAGAGGGGAGUUGUUGGGUGACUGCCUGACUGAAGGUAGAGGCGACAAGAAAGGUCCAUGCUAAUGAGGGGCUGCAUCAGCAUGGGACUCUCCUUGACACUACACUGCAGGAGAUCGAUGCCAGGAUGUGAUGUGCGCGCGAGGAUAAUAUGAAGCUCAGCAAGGAGCGGAAUGCUUGUGCAGGAAUCCAACAAGCUGGAAGGAGACCAGCACAUGGUGCCUUCUUUGAUACUUCUGUUCAUGCUAUCUUUUGUAGAAAUUGGUUGGCUUAGUCUUAUGUAUCUCCAUAUGGUAUACUACAGCUUUGAAACGUUUUUUUAUAGGAAGAUUAAAGUAGUUAGGUGAAGCCUUGAAGGGGAACACUCUAUUUUGACUAUUUAUCACUAUGUAUUAAGAUCAUAAGAGAAUGCUGGAUUGUGAUUUCUUUGGUAAUUUGCUAUCUGUUAUGGGUUAGAAACUGAAAGACCUCAUGGGUAUUGAGCUCCAAAAUAUUGUACUUCUUAGUUCUGUUAUGAAAAUAAUGCUGGUCUAACCA
Panicum virgatum (switchgrass) is the source of this 2273-nucleotide long non-coding RNA. RefSeq lists it as uncharacterized. The record is from RefSeq and is a predicted model, not a curated record. The transcript is spliced from 6 exons. NCBI's taxonomy places the organism in Eukaryota, Viridiplantae, Streptophyta, Magnoliopsida, Poales, Poaceae.